RNAcentral lists this ribosomal RNA (438 nucleotides) under uncultured bacterium. Its description in RNAcentral is "partial 16S ribosomal RNA". It matches the Rfam family "Bacterial small subunit ribosomal RNA", at positions 339 to 795 of the family's 1533-position model. The record is from RNAcentral.
CUACGGGCGGCAGCAGUGAGGAAUAUUGCACAAUGGGGGGAACCCUGAUGCAGCAACGCCGCGUGGAGGAUGACGCAUUUCGGUGUGUAAACUCCUUUUAUAUGUCAAGAAAAUGACGGUAGCAUAUGAAUAAGCACCGGCUAACUCCGUGCCAGCAGCCGCGUAAUACGGAGGGUGCAAGCGUUACUCGGAAUCACUGGGCGUAAAGGACGCGUAGGCGGGUUGGAAAGUCAGGUGUGAAAUCCUACAGCUUAACUGUAGAACUGCACUUGAAACUUCUAAUCUAGAGUAUGGGAGGGGGAGAUGGAAUUAGUGGUGUAGGGGUAAAAGCCGUAGAUAUCACUAGGAAUACCUAAAGCGAAGGCGAUCUCCUGGAACAUUACUGACGCUAAGGCGUGAAAGCGUGGGGAGCAAACAGGAUUAGAUACCCUAGUAGUC